UGACCCACACAAUGAAAGUGAAGUGCAGU
RNAcentral lists this non-coding RNA (29 nucleotides) under Mus musculus (house mouse). Lineage: Eukaryota; Metazoa; Chordata; Mammalia; Rodentia; Muridae. The record is from RNAcentral.